This 357-nucleotide RNase P RNA is filed under the name Legionella sp. Its description in RNAcentral is "RNase P RNA component class A". It matches the Rfam family "Bacterial RNase P class A". From Rfam's summary of the family: Ribonuclease P (RNase P) is a ubiquitous endoribonuclease, found in archaea, bacteria and eukarya as well as chloroplasts and mitochondria. Its best characterised activity is the generation of mature 5'-ends of tRNAs by cleaving the 5'-leader elements of precursor-tRNAs. Lineage: Bacteria; Pseudomonadati; Pseudomonadota; Gammaproteobacteria; Legionellales; Legionellaceae. The record is from RNAcentral.
AGAGUUGGUUAGACAAUCGCUCUUUGCUUUUAGCAAAGGGAGGAAAGUCCGGGCUCCAAAGGGCAGAGUGCCAGGUAACGCCUGGGAGGUGUGAACCUACGGAAAGUGCCACAGAAAAUAUACCGCCUCUUUGAGGUAAGGGUGAAAUGGUGCGGUAAGAGCGCACCGCACGAUUGGCAACAGUCGUGGCAGGGAAAACCCCACUCGGAGCAAGACCAAAUAGGAAUCCAUGUGACUGCAAAGUCAUGACGUGCGGCCCGUACGGGAUUCGGGUAGGUUGCUUGAGGCAUGCGGUGACGCAUGUCCCAGAUGAAUGAUUGUCCGCGACAGAACCCGGCUUAUCGACCGACUCUUUUA